AAUGUAAUUCGUAUAGCGUAAAUGCACUAGAUCCCAUUAUAACUAUGAAAUUAAGAAGGAUUGGCAUAUAGUAGUACUAGGAUGGGUCACCUCUCAAGAAGUCACAGUGUUUUACAUUU
Non-coding RNA from Picea glauca (white spruce), 119 nucleotides. The record is from Rfam. NCBI's taxonomy places the organism in Eukaryota, Viridiplantae, Streptophyta, Pinopsida, Pinales, Pinaceae.